GUCUUUUAGUAGAGAGGUGUCUCAUUGGCAAUCAUACCACAUCUUUUUCAUAUUUACAUUUGUAUUUAAAAAUUGACUCAGUAACAUAAACGUCCAUCUAAGCAAGAAUGAAGUGUUCUUUUAAUGUAACACUUUGUAAACCAAGUAUACUGCAUGCAAUAUGAUUGGUUGACUGUUCAUUGCAAAAUGUCCAGUGAUAAUUUUUCAUGGAUGUUUAGGACAAGAAAAACAAUGAAUACAAAAUAAGUCCUGUUAAAGAGAGGCGACUGAUACCAGUAAUUAAAAAUACACCGACAACGCCAAGACUAACAAUAAAAAAUCAAGACAAACAAUAGUACUGAACAACACGAACCCUUCCAAAAAUGAGGGUGAUCUUGAAAGCUUCGGAAGAGUAACCAAAUCCUGCCCCAUCCGUUCUGUUGCUAUUAUUUAAAAAAAAAAUCGCAGUUAAAAGUUAAUUCGGUAGAACAAAUUCGAGAAAUGAUGAACGUGUAAGAGGCUGUGGGAUGAAGAUUUGAUUAAUUUAGAGUCAACUGGGAAAAUGAGGUAUGUUGGACAGCGUUAGAAA
This 568-nucleotide long non-coding RNA is filed under the name Mytilus galloprovincialis (Mediterranean mussel). Lineage: Eukaryota; Metazoa; Mollusca; Bivalvia; Mytilida; Mytilidae. The record is from RNAcentral.